GAUGAACGCUGGCGGCGUGCCUAAUACAUGCAAGUCGAGCGAACAGACGAGGAGUUUGCUCCUCUGACGUUAGCGGCGGACGGGUGAGUAACACGUGGAUAACCUACCUAUAAGACUGGGAUAACUUCGGGAAACCGGAGCUAAUACCGGAUAAUAUAUUGAACCGCAUGGUUCAAUAGUGAAAGACGGUUUUGCUGUCACUUAUAGAUGGAUCCGCGCCGCAUUAGCUAGUUGGUAAGGUAACGGCUUACCAAGGCAACGAUGCGUAGCCGACCUGAGAGGGUGAUCGGCCACACUGGAACUGAGACACGGUCCAGACUCCUACGGGAGGCAGCAGUAGGGAAUCUUCCGCAAAGGGCGAAAGCCUGACGGAGCAACGCCGCGUGAGUGAUGAAGGUCUUCGGAUCGUAAAACUCUGUUAUUAGGGAAGAACAAAUGUGUAAGUAACUAUGCACGUCUUGACGGUACCUAAUCAGAAGGCCACGGCUAACUACGUG
RNAcentral lists this ribosomal RNA (497 nucleotides) under uncultured bacterium. RNAcentral describes it as "partial 16S ribosomal RNA". It matches the Rfam family "Bacterial small subunit ribosomal RNA", at positions 28 to 507 of the family's 1533-position model. The record is from RNAcentral.